Molecule: ribosomal RNA, 108 nt
Filed under: Ascaris lumbricoides (common roundworm)
Lineage: Eukaryota; Metazoa; Nematoda; Chromadorea; Rhabditida; Ascarididae
Description: partial 5.8S ribosomal RNA
Rfam family: 5.8S ribosomal RNA
About the family: 5.8S ribosomal RNA (5.8S rRNA) is a component of the large subunit of the eukaryotic ribosome. It is transcribed by RNA polymerase I as part of the 45S precursor that also contains 18S and 28S rRNA.
Source: RNAcentral
CAAAUCUUGGCGGUGGAUCACUCGGUUCGUGGAUCGAUGAAGAACGCAGCUAGCUGCGAUAAAUAGUGCGAAUUGCAGACACAUUGAGCACUAAAAAUUCGAACGCAC